UACUAUUAAAUAUCUGUUUCUAAUUCAUAUGCAUUCACUUCUCAGUAAAAUCUUGAAAUCCGUCGUCAUUAUGUUUUUAAAUACAUACUGACUAAACAUAAUAGCGUUAAUUUUAAACUUUCAAAGUCCAGGGACGGAGACGUGUUUUUCAAUUACACCCACUCUUCAUUAUAGGAAAAACUAAAUUAUUUGAUUUGAUUUAAAUAUUAAAAUAAUAAAAAGUAAAUAUUUGAACUUUGUUUUUAUUUAGACGUGAAAAUUCUGGUAUACAACAUUUGAAAAGAGACAAUAGACAUUAAAAUCGAACUGAACUAAUUAAAUCAUGACAAAAUUUUAUAUCCAUAGAUAUGACUAUUCUGCUUGUUCAUCUGGAUGAUGAUACUGACUCCUUUUCCUUUGCACUGGAACUGGAAGAAGCAGUAAUAAUUCUGUAGAAAUCUUCUGCUUCGGGAGGUGCAACCGAAGUAUUUAAGCAGCUUUUCAACAUUUUUCGCAUUCUCUAAAGAGACUUUGCUGGAUGGUUCAAUCUCGUGAGCAUCUUUCAAAAAGUAUAUCCACAUUUUCUUGAGGAUAUAGCAAAAUGUUUCAUCCCGUUCAUACAGACUUUAGACGCCAUUCUUAAUUUUUUGAGAUUUGUCUCGUGAAUAACUGAUUAAAUUUUUUGUGAUAUUUUGAAAAGAAGUACCGUUUACAAGUAGUUUUUUUGGUACUAAUUUAUGAUAAACUUUCCAAUCAGAUUCAUAUAUUAGUAUAGUUCCAUGAUUGUGAAAUAUUUUAUAGUAAUCUCCAGAUGUUAGAGCUGAGUAGUAAUGAGAUAUUACUUUCUUCACCUGCCCGAAUACUUGAUCCGGUACAUGUAGCUGUGGCCUUUCACUGGGAAAAAAUGCAUUAUUUUCUUCCACUUUGAAGUCGUUAUGUAUCCAUUUAAUGCGGCAAUAACUAAAAUUUUUAGUUGUUGUGUUGUACUAUCACCAAAUAAAUGGACCUCGUAUUUUUAUUUAUUUAUUUCCAUCCUAAGUAUUGAGUACAUUUGGAUGACCCCCAGACAAUGUAACAAAAUAAACAAAACAAAAAAAAAGAAAAUAAUACAAAAGCAAAAUACAGAUAGCCCUCAGUUUACACCAGCUCAAUUUACGCCAAUUCACGAUAACGCCGCUGCACAACUCGCCAUUUUGCCGUGUAUUUCUCUGAUUCUUCCUAUUCUAGACUGAUUUUCAUUUCAGUGUUGAUAUAUUUACUGAGCUGCGACGUUGUGCAUUUGUUAAAACAAAG
This 1272-nucleotide long non-coding RNA is filed under the name Androctonus crassicauda. The record is from RNAcentral. Lineage: Eukaryota; Metazoa; Arthropoda; Arachnida; Scorpiones; Buthidae.